AAGGUACAACAAGAUAGUCAUAUGAUGGAUGAUAAUUCUAAUAUAUAAUAGACACCAGGCAUAUGAUGCCUCCAAUGCCUAUUGAAAUAUUGGACUCAUUAUCAUGCACCUUAAUGGGAGACAAUAAUUUAGUUAUCUCCAUAACUAGCUCAUUUUAUGGACCUAAUAAUUUAAAAAAAUUGAUUAAUUUAUUUAAUAAGACAUCAAUCAAUCUACAAAUCAUAAAUCU
RNAcentral lists this long non-coding RNA (229 nucleotides) under Elaeis guineensis (African oil palm). RNAcentral's name for it is "long non-coding RNA (EGUI_LNC073189)". Lineage: Eukaryota; Viridiplantae; Streptophyta; Magnoliopsida; Arecales; Arecaceae. The record is from RNAcentral.